This 253-nucleotide ribosomal RNA is filed under the name uncultured bacterium. Its description in RNAcentral is "partial 16S ribosomal RNA". It matches the Rfam family "Bacterial small subunit ribosomal RNA", at positions 524 to 776 of the family's 1533-position model. The record is from RNAcentral.
UACGAAGGGGACUAGCGUUGUUCGGAAUUACUGGGCGUAAAGCGCACGUAGGCGGCUUUGUAAGUUAGAGGUGAAAGCCCGGAGCUCAACUCCGGAAUUGCCUUUAAGACUGCAUCGCUUGAAUCCGGGAGAGGUGAGUGGAAUUCCGAGUGUAGAGGUGAAAUUCGUAGAUAUUCGGAAGAACACCAGUGGCGAAGGCGGCUCACUGGACCGGUAUUGACGCUGAGGUGCGAAAGCGUGGGGAGCAAACAGG